This 691-nucleotide ribosomal RNA is filed under the name Rhipicephalus sanguineus (brown dog tick). RNAcentral's name for it is "12S ribosomal RNA". Lineage: Eukaryota; Metazoa; Arthropoda; Arachnida; Ixodida; Ixodidae. The record is from RNAcentral.
UAAUUUGGUUUGGUUUCUAAGAAAAAAUCUCUAAUUUUUUUAUACUAUCUUUAAAAUAAUCAUAGUAGAAAAUUUACUUUAUUUAAUAAUAAAAAAUUAUUAAGAAUUAGAAAAAUAAUCUAGCUAAAUUUGUGCCAGCAGCAGCGGUUAAACAAAUAGAAAAAUUCUUUUUUUUAAGAAAUUUAAUAAAAAAUACUUAAAAAUUAUUAAAAAUUAAGGUGAAAUUUAUUUUUAAAAAAAUAUAAAAAUAUAAUUAAAAUUCUAAGAUUAAACUAGGAUUAGAUACCCUAUUAUUUAAGAGCUUAACAUUGUAAGUAAAUAAUAAUUAUGAAAGCAAAAAAUUAUGGCGGUAUUUUAAGCUUUUCAGAGGAAUUUGCUCUUUAAUGGAUAAAACACCAAAAUCUUACUUAGAUUUGUGAUUUCAAUUUGUAUACCACUAUUAAAACAAUUUAUAACUUUAAUUGUUUAAAUUUACAAAACUAAAAUAUAUUAAGUCAAGGUGCAGUAAAAAUUUAAGGAUGAAGUGAAUUACAUUACUUUUUAGUGAGAUAAGUUUAUAACAAUAUUUAGGAUUUGAAAGUAAAAUUAAAAUAGGAUGUUAAUUUGAAUUAAGCUCUAAAAUAUGUACAUAUCGCCCGUCACUCUUUUAUAAGAUAAGUCGUAACAAAGUUAAAGUACUGGAAAGUGCUUU